CGCUGGCGGCGUGCUUCAUACAUGCAAGUCGAACGAGGUCCAUCACUUCGGUGAGAAGACCUAGUGGCGAACGGGUGAGUAACACGUGAGGAACCUGCCCCGAAGAUCGGGAUAACAGCGGGAAACCGCUGCUAAUACCGAAUGCCGUCACCGGAUCGCAUGGUCUGGUGACGAAAUGGAUUCCGCUUCGGGAGUGGCCUCGCGGCCUAUCAGCUUGUUGGUGGGGUAACGGCCCACCAAGGCAACGACGGGUAGCUGGUCUGAGAGGACGAUCAGCCACACUGGGACUGAGACACGGCCAGACUCCUACGGGAGGCAGCAGUAGGGAAUCUUGCGCAAUGGGCGAAAGCCUGACGCAGCAACGCCGCGUGAGGGAUGAAUGCCUUCGGGUUGUAAACCUCUUUCAAGCAGGGACGAUACAUGACGGUACCUGCAGGAAAGAACGCUCCGGCCAAACUACGUUGCCAGCAGCCGGCGGUAAUACGUAGGGGAGCAAGCGUUGUCCGGGAAUCAUUGGGCGUAAAAGAGCUCGGUAG
RNAcentral lists this ribosomal RNA (536 nucleotides) under uncultured bacterium. RNAcentral's name for it is "bacterial SSU rRNA". It matches the Rfam family "Bacterial small subunit ribosomal RNA", at positions 34 to 575 of the family's 1533-position model. The record is from RNAcentral.